This 294-nucleotide ribosomal RNA is filed under the name uncultured eukaryote. Its description in RNAcentral is "partial 18S ribosomal RNA". It matches the Rfam family "Eukaryotic small subunit ribosomal RNA", at positions 1470 to 1796 of the family's 1831-position model. The record is from RNAcentral.
CCCUUUGAUACUCUGGGCGGUACGCGCGCUACACUGGUUUAUAUAACGUGUAAUUUGGACGAUAGUCUGUAUAAAUCACUAAUAUAAAACCGUGAAUGGGGUAGUUUAUUGCAACUUACAAACUUUAACUAGGAAUCCCUUGUAGAAGUAGUGAAUUAUACUGCUUCGAAUACGUCCCUGCCGAUUGUACACACCGCCCGUCGUUUCUUCCGACUGGUACUCAUUGUGAAUUGCGAGGAGAUUCUGUCAAAUCGUUGUAAAUGCUGGGUAUUGGAGGAAGAAAAAGUCGUAACA